CCUCUGCUGCACAGAGGGCUUGCCUCUUUGUGGUUGUUCCCUCCAUGAAGAGACAGUAGUGGUGAGAUGCAGGAGUCCCUGGGCUUGGAGAUAAAGGCAGGGCCCCUUGGUGGGUGGCCCAGGUCGAAGAGUGGCAGUCAGCUUAUGGGGCCGGGUAACGUUCUGGUAACACCCAUAGUGCCCGCUUCCUGGCCUGAAGCGCUCUCCUCCUUCCCCCGACCGGAACCGAAGAGUGGUUGCAACGAGGUACUGAGGUCAGGACUGACAGGGGCCUAUGCUGUUUGUGGCACGCAGCCUUUUUCCAGGCGCCGCCCCUGCCACCGUCUCCACCUUGUACCUGUGCGGCAGCAGCUGGACAGCGCCAGCAUCGCGGCUCCCCAGCUGGGCAGACGAAAGCGCAUGCGCAGGCGGCCUGUCACAAGCGCCAGCGCUGAGCCUGGACUCGCGUCACAGUAACAGCCACCAGUUGCCUGGGGAACGAUCACAGUGGCUUCCCAAAGCAGCGGUCCUCUGUGGCAGUGCCUCAGCAUCGGGCAACGGACUCUUUCUCCGCGCGAUCAUCGCUGAGUCCUGCGAUUUUAGGAAUCCGGCAGGCCGAGCCAGGCAGAAGAAAGAUCUGUCGGGGCUUCAGGGAUGUCCACGGCGCUCCCCAGGAAUCACCAAGUUGCUGCAGACCUGCCCAAACAGUGUGAGGGUGCCUCUCGUUGAAAGCCCUCGUGGCUGGGAUUUCCAGGAGUGACCAACCUCAGUAUAAGCACGUGAUUAUUGCACCUGCAGGUGGCAGCCAGACCCCACUACACUGAGGCUUUGAACACCACCAGGAAAAAGAAGAAUGCAGGGCGCCGCAGCCCCAAACUGAGCCAAACGUUGAUCAGCAGCAGAAAGUAAGUGGAUUACAGAGAAACCGUGCUGGAGUGCACUGGCCACACUCGUGUCAGCAUGUCCCACACAGACACACACACACUCCUCAACACACUCAGAAAGAUACAUGCAUACACACACUCACACACACUCAGGAAUACACAGGGAGGCAUUCAACACUCGCAUGGAAACCCACACUGCCAGGUAGCUCCUGAGGCUGCGGGGUUCUGCUCUCUUUCUGGAAAUCCCUUGGGGACAGAGCAGCCCAGCCACAGGCCGGCAGUGGGUACCUGAAACUAAUUCACUGGAUUAUCCCAGCCUGGAAAUCCCAGUCAGGAGGGCUUUCAAUGAGAGGCACCUUCCCACUGUUUGGGCAGGCCUGAAGCCUCUUAGUGAUUCUUGGGGAGCGCCGUGGACAUCCCUGAAAUCCCAACAGAUCUUUCUUCUGCCUGGUUUGACCUGCCGGAUUCCUAAAAUCGCAAGAUGGUCACACGAAGAAAGGGUGCAUUGCCCAAUGCUGAGGCACUGCCACGGAGGGCCCCUGCUUUGCUAAGUCACUGAGAUCAUUUUCCAGGCAACGGUGGCUGUCACUGUGAUGGGAGCUAUGUCUCAACGCUGUGGCUUUUGACAGGCUGUUUGCGCAGGUGCUUUUGCGUGCCCAGCUGUGGAGCCACAAUGUUGGCACUGUCCAGCGGAUGCUGCCCAUAUGCACAAAGGAGUCGGUUCCAAGGGCAGCCCCCGAAAAGUCUGCAUGCCAUCACACCAGAGACACAGAACUUGGAAUUGAGAUUUUCUCCUGUGCUCCUUGCAUCUCCUGAAAAAACCAAUAAUGAUCCUUCCUGCGGCUUCAACAUCCACAUCUGUGAGAAAGCCGCUGGCGAGUGUGAUAUUUUCAAGAAGCCACAGUCCAUGUUACCCCCUACAGAGCUCUGAACUUGCGCACUGGUGGGCCUGGCAGCGGUUUUCUCCCCAAAGUGUCUGAACUGCUCUCAUGCUGGAGGGAAAAGAGGGGAGCAGCACAAUGGACAGCGUCUGGAUCUCAGGCCACUUUUCACAGCAACUUAGGAAAUCAGGCUGCUGCCUGGGCUGGAGAAGCCACGAUGCCCAGUAAAGACCCUGCAAGCAUUUGGAGGAGGAAACCCAGCUGAUCAGUGAGAUGUUGUGUGAGGACCACACACGUCCCAGUAGGACACGAGAAAGGUGCGCUUCACAGCGCUUUGCCCUGAUCACUGCCCAACCUGGACCUUCUUCUUCUGUCCCUCUUUCGACGCAAUUCCCAUGGCAAGGAAGUGCAGGCAAUCAGUAGCCAACAUCGCUAUGGAAGCGGCGAGGUCCACACUGCCCUGGCAACCCCUUCUGUGUUAACCACCUCCUUGCAUUUCAUCUGCUGGGAUUCUAGUUUAGCCGUCUUGCCACCAACGGGCGGGGAAAUUUUCAGAGGUACAGUUUCCAGCCCUGGGGAAAAAAUGAGCCUCUCAGCUCUUUCUCAAGAACUGCACCCAGUCCCCGACCCCAUGACAUGCCGGGAUUGUAGUUUUGAAGUGCUUUUAAACAACUGUGGGAGCAGUGAAGAGAUCACAAGUCCCAGAAUGCACAAUCACAGAUGACAACUCCCAGUAUAACAGGUGUAGCUACCCCUCUCCGAUCCAGGCCUUCCCUCGUCCAGAGCAGUUCUGCCAUGCCAAAGGUCCCUGACCAUUCCCAAACCAAUCCUGCCUCUCACAGAGGGACAGGACUGCUGGUAAUACCUUGUAAUUAUGCCAUAACUCUCCCUAAAAAGCUGGCUUUAUGCUCAGUCAGUGCCAGCAGUUUGAUUUAUCACUGAGCAGCAGGGGACCUGGAGCUGCUCACAAACCUGUCAGUUGCCAUAGUAAUGAUCCUCCCUCUGUAACUGAACUCUCUCCGUCCCCUUCCUUCACCCCAUCCCUUCUCUUCCUUCUCUCCUUCCCUCUGCCCCACCUCAUCCCCUUGGCCCUGCCUCUUCCCUUCCCUCAGCCUUUCCUCUCCCCUCGGCACUGACCUUUCUCUCUCCGUCCCUAAAACUCUUUUUUGGACAUGCGCAAUGUAGUCCCUGUGUAGAAAUGUGGCUACUGGCCAAGUGUCUGACAGUUCUUGGACUUCUUCAGAUCCCACGCGGGCAGCUCCAUCGUGAAUGUCUGAAACCAUCAGGUCAUUGACAGAAAUGAAUAUACAUUGUCCCUGAACCUGGCACUUGCUUUUUCAAAGCAAACAUUUCCUCUAUUAUCUAGGCUGUCACAAAUCCUCCUACGGACCCCAAGAGCACCCUUUGGACCUCGAGACUUCAUCAUGGCCCACUACUGGGUUAGGCCUUGAAAAGGGACGCUCCUGACACUCUAAUAAAAUGUAGAAAACGUCACAGUGAAAAGCUGGCCCUGCUGCAUCCGUUUUUCAGAUUAACUGGAAGUACCAAAAGACUAUGUGCUAAUGAAACUAGAAGAGGCACAGCCUCAGCUCCUUGCAGGACAGAUGCACAAGAGCAGAAUCUCCGUGGGAUGUCUUUCUGGAGCCUCAAUAUUACUGCAGAUUUGGAAGAAGCAAAUUUAAAUAAUUUCCAAUUUAAGACACUGGAAAUUUAAGAGAAAACUGGAAAGUUAUCUGCCUUUAAUAAUUGUCGGUCAUCUGUGCCUAAGUCAGACGUUCUCCAAGAAAAUAAAAGGAACUCUGAGGAGAAACUAUUUUUCAUUCUUCUAAGUAAUUAAUAUCAGAAAUCACAGAAAGUCGGUAGAAAGCCCUGCCAGUCUCCUAAGUUAAAGUAUGGCCUCGGAAUGAUUUUAUUUGUGUUUUUUGGAGGGGUUUCUUGACAUAUUGGGUAUAAAAACUGGGGGGAUUUGACAGAUUUUUGAAAUUUUUUAGCUACCUUUUGGUAAUGUACUUUGCACCUCAUUUAAUUUUUCUGUCCCCUCUUCAACUUGGACUCCGUCACUUCACAUAUCUCUAAGACUCUUCAUUUCCUUUAAGCUUUUUCACUCUUUUAUUCAGAAUGGACAAUUUCUAUUACUCUUCUGUUUCUAGUCUUUGAAUAAGCUGAAAAGUAUUUUUUAAAAUUUCUUAUCUUCUUCUUUCAUAAUUUCCCUUUUUUCUUGCUGAUGUUCCACAUCUCUUAAUCCAUUCUUAGACUAUUUUUCUUAACUCCCAUGAACAGAUUUAUAAUAGCUGUUUUUAAACCUCCUGAAUCACUCUUCAAAGGUACACAACAGAAUUGGGAGUCUCUAUAAUGAUUCCUUACAGUUUUAGCACACAACUUUACAAUUGAUACAACAUGUGAAGAAACACAAAAAUGUAAUGUAAUCCAUACACAAUUUAAAAAGCAGGCAGUAGAAGUGGCCCGUGAGUGGUCCCCAUUUCCACACCCUUCCAUGCUGCACUACUGCCAGGCCACUAGGGGUGAGGGAUGUGCACAGAAUAGCACUGGAACCUGAAUCGGGCACUGGGCUCUAACAAGGAGGUUAGGGAGUUGUGUCUCAGAAACCUUCUACACCAACGCUUUCUGACAACAGACAGACAAAUGGAGGUCCUGUAUAGAACAAAAAUGCUUGGACACAUAGGAGCUGCCUGAUGAGGGAGGGCCCCAAUUUUCCUCUCCCACCAAGGGCACCAGCAGAGGGAAAGGCUUUGUCCAGCUCAGCCUGCAGCUCAUGCAGUUUUGCAGUCAUGCAGCUCUACAGUUUCAGCACUCAGGGAGCACGGACUGGCAGCUGCUCUGAAGCCUCCACCACUCAGAAGUAAAAUGGGCCCAAUCCUCCAGCUCACAAGGCAGGGGGAGGACUGUGCCGCUCACACAGAAGGAGGCUUGCUGAGAUGGAAGGGCUGAAUCCAGGGCUCUCUCCUCCCAACACUCGGGAUCCUGGUCCUCGAUGUGCCUGCACCAGGCUUACCCCAUCCACAGUCCUUCAUUGCAGUGUCUAGCUUCACCAGGUCAGUGAGACACCUGCCCAAAGAGGGCCCAUCACCCUGGGCCAUUGUAGUGAUAGUGGUGGUGAGUCCCCACUGUCAGGUGCCCACUCAAGACCCGUCUCCUAAAAUCUCACCAACCCCUCCUGCCUAUAGACUUCCUCCCCAGUUCUCCUACUUGAAAGACCCCAGGACCCUCAGCUGCCUCCCCCAGUACUCUCCCUACUCUCCAUGUCUCCCCAUCUGGUCUCCAAGGCCAGUAGACAUCCCUAGUUACUUCCAUGGUGGGAUUUUAACAAGUUAUAAGGUCAUGGAGUCCCCUGUCCUACCGUUCCCCAAAUCUACCCUGAGCCCAGCUCACCCAGGUGGUUUCUCUGGUCUCUCUGACGGAGGCAUUUUAGGCUCUGUGACUACAUUAGGGAAGGGCUGGGGGAGGAAGACUCCCUGCUCACUUGAUGUGGAGGCCUCCAGCAGGGAGGGAAGAAGCCUGUUUUUGACUCCCUGGAGACCCUCCCCAACACACAUAUACUCACCUGCUGCUCCUACAGCCUUAUCUGGGUUGUCUGGGGAUUCUUCUCUAGCAUGGGCAAUUUGGAGGUUCCCACCUGCCAGGGUCUGGGACAAGGUGAGGGAGACUAUUUUUUCCUCCCUUCACUCAGUUAUACCUCAAAUCCUAGAUUACUGGCCUAAGCCAACUGUGGCAAUGCUCCCACCCCUCCAGUGAGCCCUGAUCCUAGAUUAACUCCCAGCUCCAACACGCACUGUCUGUGUCACCCUGGGCAGGUGGCUGGGCCCCCCUGAGACUGUUUCCUCAUCUGGGAGGUGUGAUGGAAACCACACCUUCCUCACAGGGCCUCCCGAAUACUCAGUUUCAUGUGGCUCUCAGCGUUUCUCUCACCAUCAUUGUUCGUGGAACGGGCCAGGUGCGAGCAACCUCAAAUUCUCUUCCUCCCUGAACCCCAUCAUCAUCUUGUGACAACUGCAAACCAGGCUCAUCAUUUGUACAUUUUCCAAAUGAGGAAAUAGAGGCCCAAAGAUGGCAGUGAGUUGCCCAGAGCCUCACAGGAGAAGAUGGCUUCUCCCACACUUCAAGGCCCGGUCCCAGCUGCCUUCACCCCACAUGCCGGCACCACCACUGUACAGGGUCCCAUUCUCUGGAGUCUAGGGGUGUCCACAUUCCCAUCCAGACCCAGCUAUGGUGGGAGAGGGAAAAGGUGUCUUGGGGGACCUGGUUGAGCAGCAACUAUUUGUCACAGAACCACUGGAAUCUCUGCUCCACAUGCCAGGCUUUAUGUUAGACCACAGACCUCACUUACCCCAUGAUGUACCAAGGGAGUUCCCUGCACAGAACCCUCUCUUUCUCCACUCAGAAGGUGUGGUCACCCAAGAUGCCAUUUCAGACUGACAAAACAGGGUUUUCCUAAGGUACUGGGUGGUGACAUGUCACUUCCUCAUUUCCAGGGAAGGUUCUGAAAUCAGGUCAGGAAGAAUCCACAGAGAAUUCAAAAGUCUCCAGGUACUUAUACCAUCUGGAGCUUUUAGUAGUACUCACUGGGCACUGGGGUGAGAAUCCCACAACUGUGACUGAUUAGCAGUGUCUGCAAAGGACAGAGUGGGGAGCCACAGCAAACAUAUAUAUAUCCACAUCAUAUUUACCAAUGGAGACUCACCUGGCAGAUAUUCCUCUGCUGUCCCCAUCAUUGGUACAGACAGAGUGACCCUCCCUGUAUAGGUGCAGUACAGGAAGAAGCAGUAACAGAGGCCUGGCUUCCUAUGAAAUUGCUGGGCAGGUCUGGGGAAAGAAGGAAGCCCCACCUACCACACCCACCUCACAGCCUGCAGGAAGUCCGUGCUAGCAGCAUGGAUCAAUGUGGGAAUCAGAGCACUGAUCUUUCUGCAUUUCAUCAUGCCUGCUCGACAGCCCAGCUGCCAUCAGCACAUCCAAUUACUGGGGUUGCCUGUCCCCAAACUUUCCACCUGCCCACAGGCAAACACUUGACUUUCACUUAAUCUACUCUAGACAGGGCUGGAGGUUUUCAAGUAAACGUUUAGUAAAAAAGACACAUACACACACACACGCACACACACAAGUGUGCACACCCUCACACCUGGCCCAGUACCCCUUCCAGCCUAAUCUAUUUCUCUACCCCUGAAAACCUCUGACACCCACCUCCCAUCUCUACGUUUUAUUGAUGUGCAAAUCCUACUCAGGGUACUGUCUUUUCUGAAAAUAUUUUAAAAUUUUCUGGAGCUUUUUCUGAGGAGAGGAAAAAGAAGGAAAGAUUCAAGAAACAAGAAGGUAAAAGAAAAAAUCAUUUGAGAAUAAUAAGCAGAUGUGUACAUUCAAUUUUCUUUUGAGAACCGAAGGGAUCAAACUGCCUGGAUGAGAACGUCUAUGCUGGUCCCCUAAACCCUUAGGGCUCCAUGGGUCUGGGAAAGGAGCUCUGUGGAGGCUAAAGCAACUUUGCGUUGGAUGCAAAUCCACCAUGUUUACUUCGGAGUAACCCCAAUUCUGGAAAUGCCUUUAAGAUUUCCACCUGUUCUGCUGUUUCUUGUGUAAGAGCACAUACCUACUGCUAAUCUUCUCCUUAGGUCAAAGCAACCUGGAUGUAUUAUGCAAAUUUCAGGCUACAAUGGGCACAUCCUUCUCUUCCUGGAAGGCUGACUUUAAUUGUCCUGCACAAUCUGAAUACAGCAUAUUUUCUCUUUUCCUAUACUACGUAAGCCCUAAAUCUUGGGGUAACUGCCUGGAGAACUACUUAAGUUGCUACAAUUCAAGAUCAUGCUUCUGUUCAUAAAUUCCCCACAAUAAAUUACCAUUUACUGAAAAA
Callithrix jacchus (white-tufted-ear marmoset) is the source of this 7604-nucleotide non-coding RNA. Lineage: Eukaryota; Metazoa; Chordata; Mammalia; Primates; Cebidae. The record is from RefSeq and is a predicted model, not a curated record.